Hydra vulgaris (swiftwater hydra) is the source of this 297-nucleotide non-coding RNA. Lineage: Eukaryota; Metazoa; Cnidaria; Hydrozoa; Anthoathecata; Hydridae. The record is from RefSeq and is a predicted model, not a curated record.
CAACAAUUUUGUGAUCUCCAUGAAUAUGUAGGGGAAAGGUGGAAAUAUGCUUUAAGACAACUAAUUUAUAUGGUGUAGUGAAAGUUCAUGUAAUUUUUUCAAAAUUGAAUAUGCGGAAUGGAGCUGUUUGGAAUAAAGAUUUACAAAGAAGUAAUUCUAUCUAAUUGGAUUAGUGAUAAAACUGUCGGCUUCCAGGUACCAAAGCAUUGACUGCACUAAAAUGCAGAGAAGAAUUGGCUUAAGUUUAUACAAAUAAAAACUAAAUUCUCUUUAGAGUAUUUUCGAAAAGUUUUAUGG